CACGUAGGCGGAUAUUUAAGUCAGGGGUGAAAUCCCGGGGCUCAACCUCGGAAUUGCCUUUGAUACUGGGUGUCUUGAGUAUGGGAGAGGUGUGUGGAACUCCGAGUGUAGAGGUGAAAUUCGUAGAUAUUCGGAAGAACACCAGUGGCGAAGGCGACACACUGGCUCAUUACUGACGCUGAGGCUCGAAAGCGUGGGGAGCAAACA
Molecule: ribosomal RNA, 207 nt
Filed under: uncultured bacterium
Lineage: Bacteria
Description: partial 16S ribosomal RNA
Rfam family: Bacterial small subunit ribosomal RNA
Source: RNAcentral